GAUGAACGCUGGCGGCGUGCCUAAUACAUGCAAGUCGAGCGAACAGACGAGGAGCUUGCUCCUCUGACGUUAGCGGCGGACGGGUGAGUAACACGUGGAUAACCUACCUAUAAGACUGGGAUAACUUCGGGAAACCGGAGCUAAUACCGGAUAAUAUAUUGAACCGCAUGGUUCAAUAGUGAAAGACGGUUUUGCUGUCACUUAUAGAUGUAUCCGCGCCGCAUUAGCUAGUUGGUAAGGUAACGGCUUACCAAGGCAACGAUGCGUAGCCGACCUGAGAGGGUGAUCGGCCACACGGGAACUGAGACACGGUCAAGAAUCCUACGGGAGGCAGCAGUAGGGAAUAUUCCGCAAUGGGCGAAAGCAUGACGGAGCAACGCCGCGUGAGUGAUGAAGGUCUUCGGAUCGUAAAACUCUGUUAUUAGGGAAGAACAAAUGUGUAAGUAACUAUGCACGUCUUGACGGUACCUAAUCAGAAAGCCACGGCUAACUACGUG
Molecule: ribosomal RNA, 497 nt
Filed under: uncultured bacterium
Lineage: Bacteria
Description: partial 16S ribosomal RNA
Rfam family: Bacterial small subunit ribosomal RNA
Source: RNAcentral